This 440-nucleotide ribosomal RNA is filed under the name uncultured bacterium. Its description in RNAcentral is "partial 16S ribosomal RNA". It matches the Rfam family "Bacterial small subunit ribosomal RNA", at positions 338 to 795 of the family's 1533-position model. The record is from RNAcentral.
CCUCCUUUCUUCCGCCGUUUUUGCUAUUGCCCCCUGGGGGCCCCCCUGAUGCAGCGACGCCGCGUGGGUGAAGAAGCGCCUCGGCGCGUAAAGCCCUGUCAGCAGGGAAGAAAAUGACGGUACCUGAAGAAGAAGCCCCGGCUAACUACGUGCCAGCAGCCGCGGUAAUACGUAGGGGGCAAGCGUUAUCCGGAUUUACUGGGUGUAAAGGGGGCGCAGACGGCGAUGCAAGCCAGGAGUGAAAGCCCGGGGCCCAACCCCGGGACUGCUCUUGGAACUGCGUGGCUAGAGUGCAGGAGGGGCAGGCGGAAUUCCUGGUGUAGCGGUGAAAUGCGUAGAUAUCAGGAGGAACACCGGUGGCGAAGGCGACCUGCUGGACUGCAACUGACGUUGAGGCCCGAAAGCGUGGGGAGCAAACAGGAUUAGAUACCCGGGUAGUC